Molecule: ribosomal RNA, 422 nt
Filed under: uncultured Roseburia sp.
Lineage: Bacteria; Bacillati; Bacillota; Clostridia; Lachnospirales; Lachnospiraceae
Description: bacterial SSU rRNA
Rfam family: Bacterial small subunit ribosomal RNA
Source: RNAcentral
UGGGGAAUAUUGCACAAUGGGGGAAACCCUGAUGCAGCGACGCCGCGUGAACGAAGAAGUAUUUCGGUAUGUAAAGUUCUGUCAGCAGGGAAGAUAAUGACGGUACCUGACUAAGAAGCACCGGCUAAAUACGUGCCAGCAGCCGCGGUAAUACGUAUGGUGCAAGCGUUAUCCGGAUUUACUGGGUGUAAAGGGAGCGCAGGCGGUGCGGCAAGUCUGAUGUGAAAACCCGGGGCUCAACCCCGGUACUGCAUUGGAAACUGUCGUACUAGAGUGUCGGAGGGGUAAGCGGAAUUCCUAGUGUAGCGGUGAAAUGCGUAGAUAUUAGGAGGAACACCAGUGGCGAAGGCAGCUCACGGGAGCGCAACUGACGCUGAAGCUCGAAAGUGCGGGUAUCGAACAGGAUUAGAUACCCUGGUAGU